GGAAUCUUCGGCAAUGGACGAAAGUCUGACCGAGCAACGCCGCGUGAGUGAAGAAGGUUUUCGGAUCGUAAAACUCUGUUGGUAGAGAAGAACGUUGGUGAGAGUGGAAAGCUCAUCAAGUGACGGUAACUACCCAGAAAGGGACGGCUAACUACGUCNCA
RNAcentral lists this ribosomal RNA (161 nucleotides) under uncultured bacterium. RNAcentral describes it as "partial 16S rRNA". It matches the Rfam family "Bacterial small subunit ribosomal RNA", at positions 358 to 510 of the family's 1533-position model. The record is from RNAcentral.